UACGGGGGGAGCAAGCGUUGUUCGGAUUUACUGGGCGUAAAGGGCGCGUAGGCGGCCUCUGCAAGUCGACUGUGAAAUCUCCGGGCUUAACCCGGAAAGGUCAGCCGAUACUGCAGGGCUAGAGUGCAGAAGGGGCAACUGGAAUUCUCGGUGUAGCGGUGAAAUGCGUAGAUAUCGAGAGGAACACCUGCGGCGAAGGCGGGUUGCUGGGCCGACACUGACGCUGAUGCGCGAAAGCCAGGGGAGCGAACGGG
RNAcentral lists this ribosomal RNA (254 nucleotides) under uncultured bacterium. RNAcentral describes it as "partial 16S ribosomal RNA". It matches the Rfam family "Bacterial small subunit ribosomal RNA", at positions 524 to 776 of the family's 1533-position model. The record is from RNAcentral.